GCCGGCCUGCCGUCUGCCAGGGUCCCACACGGCUGCCCGAGCUGCUGGGGCAGCGUACCUCCGCCUCGGCAACAGCUGAGCCUCUCUGGUCUGUUUUAAUGGACAGAGGUGAGGCUUUAAAGCCUCGAAAGCGCAGUGUACGUGCUUCAGCGUGUAAGGUGGGAACUCGAUGAAAGCACUUGCAACACGGUAAUGAUACACCUGCCUGAUCUCGAUGCUCAGAAGGCUCUGCAGAGGCAGUGCACAGUGAAGGACGGUGAUGCCGCACAGUUAUCACAGCAGAACCUUGAAGAUGGUGAGGGAAAAGAAAGAAGAAAUUGCCUAAGCACAGACAAACUGGAGAGUGCUUUCUUCCAACAACUUCAGCUCCCAAAUACUUCUGUUGCAUUUUGCUACUUUAAGCUCUGCAGUUGACUCUUUGGACUUUAAGCAGUUCCAGUCCCUCAGUCACUCAGUGUAUGACAAUAUUCAUCAAACUGGUCACACCACAUUCCAUUCCAGUGAAACAAGAACAUCACUGACAAAUGUUAUGAUAAUUCAGCUCCUGAUUCAUCAGUGUUUAGUUACAUGUUCACCUUCAAGGAAGAAGGAUCUCAUACCCAAGUGGCUUACUUAGUUGGAGUUUAGUUUGGAGCUUACCUGCUCCAAAACCCAAAAGCCAUAAACCCUAAUGCCCCUCAACUGGAGUUUCCAGUAUUUUGAAGCUGCCUAAGGGAGAUUCAAAAUUGAGACAUUCCCACCACAUCAGGGUCAGACAUUCCAUUUGGUAGAGAUACGUAGGUCUUCUCUAUUUCUCCCUUUCUUUCUCAGCAGCCUUUAGAGAAGUCAAAUAUCUUCAAGGAGCUGGGAUCCUCUCAAAACGCUGUCUCAUGGAGGAUUGUAGGCAGUGGAAAAAAUGCUCACUAUCUUUCAAUCUCCACCCCUUCUUUUUUUGCCCUUCUGCCCAAACUUCUCUGCACACACCCCUACAAUCACCAGUUCUGCCAUCCCUGUGCAGCAAGAGACUGUGUGCAGGGCUGGGAAGGGAAGACAAUGCAGAUGGGGAAACCAAAAUCAUCCUCUUCCAUGGACCCCUUUCAACUGACAAUGCAAGGAACAUCUAUCCCAUCACUUUUAGCAAGCUCAUUACUUUUAAAUGCUAUUAACUGAUCUCCACGUUGUCAGUAAAUUCUUUUAAAAUCAUGAGAAAGUACUGCUGUAUAAAGAGAAACUGUCACAGGCUUUACACACUGAUACAAUGAGUUAGGAUUGCCAUAACCUGCACAUCCCAGCCAGCAACUCCUGCUGGAGUCCGUGUGUUACCUCACACAGGGGUGUGCAUGGCACGCAAGAAGUGUCCAGCCUGAGCCCUGCUAUGCUCAUGCUGGGUUUAAAGUUAAACAUUAAUUCACUAAUUAAUUAAAUCAUUAAUUCAUUACAUUAAUUCAACCAGUUCUGGGUGUGGAGGCCCCAGGGCUGGUUAUACAGAUGCCUCAGCUCUGGAAGGACCGAGGCAGGAAAGGAGACACACCACUCUAGGUUGCAGUGAGAAGUACCUCCCUUGGACCUUUGCAGACACGUGUAAAUAGUUCUCAAGGUUCGAUGUUCUAUUGGUUCUACAAAUUGAUGUAAUCCCUGUUCUGCCCCCAUUUGCCCUUUAUGGUUAAUCCCCAGAAUGUUCUCCCUUCCCCUGAUUCCUAUUGACCCUGGUUUGGUGAAGUACUCCACCUCUGUUUCUCUGUCGAUUGUUCCUGUCCCUAACCCCGCCUCUGCACCACUUUUACCUAUUCCCAUUGAAUCAUGACCUCUGAUCCACCCCCUCUUAUCCACAUAUAAUCCUGGAUCCUCCACCCAGUUUUGUCUUUGUCCCUGGACCCUCUUCAGUAAAUAAACCCUUCCUGGAGCACCAUA
Long non-coding RNA from Cyanistes caeruleus (blue tit), 1890 nucleotides. RefSeq lists it as uncharacterized. The record is from RefSeq and is a predicted model, not a curated record. NCBI's taxonomy places the organism in Eukaryota, Metazoa, Chordata, Aves, Passeriformes, Paridae.